GGAUAACAUACCGAAAGGUAUGCUAAUACGGGAUAAUAUAUUUGAGAGGCAUCUCUUAAAUAUCAAAGGUGAGCCAGUACAGGAUGGACCCGCGUCUGAUUAGCUAGUUGGUAAGGUAACGGCUUACCAAGGCGACGAUCAGUAGCCGACCUGAGAGGGUGAUCGGCCACAUUGGAACUGAGACACGGUCCAAACUCCUACGGGAGGCAGCAGUGGGGAAUAUUGCACAAUGGGCGAAAGCCUGAUGCAGCAACGCCGCGUGAGUGAUGAAGGCCUUCGGGUCGUAAAACUCUGUCCUCAAGGAAGAUAAUGACGGUACUUGAGGAGGAAGCCCCGGCUAACUACGUGCCAGCAGCCGCGGUAAUACGUAGGGGGCUAGCGUUAUCCGGAUUUACUGGGCGUAAAGGGUGCGUAGGCGGUCUUUCAAGUCAGGAGUGAAAGGCUACGGCUCAACCGUAGUAAGCUCUUGAAACUGGGAGACUUGAGUGCAGGAGAGGAGAGUGGAAUUCCUAGUGUAGCGGUGAAAUGCGUAGAUAUUAGGAGGAACACCAGUUGCGAAGGCGGCUCUCUGGACUGUAACUGACGCUGAGGCACGAAAGCGUGGGGAGCAAACAGGAUUAGAUACCCUGGUAGUCCACGCUGUAAACGAUGAAUACUAGGUGUCGGGGGUUACCCCCUUCGGUGCCGCA
This 689-nucleotide ribosomal RNA is filed under the name uncultured bacterium. RNAcentral describes it as "bacterial SSU rRNA". It matches the Rfam family "Bacterial small subunit ribosomal RNA", at positions 141 to 850 of the family's 1533-position model. The record is from RNAcentral.